This is a non-coding RNA of Triticum urartu, 131 nucleotides long. The record is from Rfam. NCBI's taxonomy places the organism in Eukaryota, Viridiplantae, Streptophyta, Magnoliopsida, Poales, Poaceae.
AAAGUACUCCCUCCGUCCCAAAAUUCUUGUCUUAGAUUUGUCUACGGAUGUAUCAAGUCACAUUUUAGUAUUAGAUACAUCCGUAUCUAGACAAAUCUAAGACAAGAAAUUUUGGACGAAGGGAGUAGUUG